CUUAUUUUAUACCAAGGCUAUGCUUGCAGAGGGGGGCAAGGGGACCGACUCAUGCAUUAAUCGGUACAUUAAUAAGAGGCAAUAGAUUUCUUCAUUGCUUUUGUUUUGUCAAAAAAGUUUUCUUCUUUCCAUCUGAUUUAUUUUCCUUUCUUUCAUUAAUAACCCAUAUGGUUAAUAUAUAUUGCGAUUUUCGUGGAACUAAAAAUGGGAAAUUUGAAGCUUAAUUGUCACACUUUAAGGAUAGAGUUGCCACUUUGUCCCCCCUCUCCCUUUCCCCUCUCCUGUUGAGUGGAUUUGGUUUAUUAUUAUUGAGAGUAACAGUGGCAGUGAAGCAGGAUUCAUGGUCUGAGCUGUCAAAUGGGAAAUGCAAAUUUUUACUACUGAUCCAACUGUUUUUUUCCUUCAAAUUUUCAGAAUGAUUGGGUGAUUGCUCAUUUUUCUUUUAUUGUGUGAAUCAAAGACUAUUCAUAUGUGAGACUAGUAAAGGACAACCAUACCUUGUCUAUAUCAUGGUUUUUGGAAGCAGUCUGUGGUGGUUGUGCCAUUUGAUACAAUGAAGAACCGGUCCCUGGCUACUGGGAUGCUCCUUGCAUUCAAUUUUACAAGGAAGGGAUACUGCUUGCUGUAUCAACAAGUGAAAAUGGAAUCAAAAUACUUGAAAAUGCUGAAGGUGUAUGGCUUCUGCGUUCUAUUGAAAAUCAAGCUGUUCAUACCUCCAGAGUGGAUCCUGCAACUAUUGCAAAGGGACUGGUAAUUAGCUCCUUUGGUGCUUCCCAUUCAACUGCUGGAACAAGCACUUGAUAUUAGGCAAAGUCCACAGAAACACUGAAGCUUUUGAUUUUCCAAAGAAUUUUCUUAUCAAAAUAUUCAGAAGAAUAUUUCAGGAGCUAAAAUUUUUAUUGACGUCUAUGCCUAUGUUCAGUUGACAUGUCUGAAUCUGGGGGAAAAGAUGCCUUCCGUGGAAGAUCUUGCUUAGGCCUAAAGCAUGUUUGUUAUGUAAAUGUCUUUUCGUGUGCUUUCUAUCAUACGUU
Molecule: long non-coding RNA, 1031 nt
Organism: Quercus lobata
Lineage: Eukaryota; Viridiplantae; Streptophyta; Magnoliopsida; Fagales; Fagaceae
Exons: 3
Source: RefSeq, a predicted model, not a curated record